GAUGAAGAACGUAGUGAAAUGCGAUAAGUAAUGUGAAUUGCAGAAUUCAGUGAAUCAUCGAAUCUUUGAACGCAUCUUGCGCUCCUUGGUAUUCUGAGGAGCAUGCCUGUUUGAGUGUCAUUAAAUUCUCAACUACACUGACUUUGAAUUGGUGUGGCUUGGAUUUGGGGGGAAAAUUGUUGUGGGCUUUUUGUAUAGUCUGCUCCCCUGAAAUUGAUUAGCGGUACCUUUGUGGAACUGUCUACAGGUGUGAUAAUUAUCUACAUCUUAGACAUCUGCUGGAAUGCUGCUCUCUAAACCUUACUUGUAUUGACAAUCUUGACCUCAAAUCAGGUAGGACUACCCGCUGAACUUAAGCAUAUCAAAAGCGGAGGA
RNAcentral lists this unclassified non-coding RNA (375 nucleotides) under soil metagenome. Its description in RNAcentral is "partial contains 5.8S ribosomal RNA, internal transcribed spacer 2, and large subunit ribosomal RNA". The stretch from base 1 to 120 matches the Rfam family "5.8S ribosomal RNA", at positions 35 to 154 of the family's 154-position model. The record is from RNAcentral.